RNAcentral lists this ribosomal RNA (809 nucleotides) under uncultured bacterium. Its description in RNAcentral is "bacterial SSU rRNA". It matches the Rfam family "Bacterial small subunit ribosomal RNA", at positions 544 to 1353 of the family's 1533-position model. The record is from RNAcentral.
CCUGGAUUUAUCGGGUUAAAGGGUGCGUGGGCGGAAUAAUAAGUCAGUGGUGAAAGCCGUGCAGAUUAAACUGUAGACUUAUCAUUGAUACUGUUUUUCUCGAGUAUGGUCAAGGGCAUGCCGGAAUGUGUAAUGUAGCGGUGAAAUGCUUAGAUAUUACACAGAACACCGAUAGCGAUGGCAGCUUGCUGGGCCGUUACUGACGCUGAUGCACGAAAGCGUGGGGAUCGAACAGGAUUAGAUACCCUGGUAGACCACGCCGUAAACGAUGAUCACUAGCUGUUGGCGAUACACCGAUCAGCGGCAAAGCAAAAGCAUUAAGUGAUCCACCUGGGGAGUACGGCCGCAAGGCUGAAACUCAAAGGAAUUGACGGGGGCCCGCACAAGCGGAGGAACAUGUGGUUUAAUUCGAUGAUACGCGAGGAACCUUACCUGGGCUUAAAUGUAGAGUGCAUUGAGAGGAAACUUUCAUUUUCUUCGGAACUCUUUACAAGGUGCUGCAUGGUUGUCGUCAGCUCGUGCCGUGAGGUGUCGGGUUAAGUCCCAUAACGAGCGCAACCCUUAUCGUUAGUUGCCAGCGGGUAAUGCCGGGAACUCUAGCGAAACUGCCGGUGUAAACCGAGAGGAAGGUGGGGAUGACGUCAAAUCAGCACGGCCCUUAUCAGCAAACAUAUACGCCCGUGACAAUGGCAAGUACAGAGGGCAGCUACCUGGAGACAGCAUGCGAAUCUUGAAAGCCGGUGUCAGUUCUGAUCGGAGUUUGCCACCCGAGUCGCCGAAAAUGCAUUAGUUAGUAAUCGCGCAUCAGC